UACGUAGGGUGCAAGCGUUGUCCGGAAUUAUUGGGCGUAAAGAGCUCGUAGGCGGUCUGUCGCGUCGAAUGUGAAAACCCGGGGCUCAACCCCGGGCCUGCAUUCGAUACGGGCAGACUAGAGUUCGGUAGGGGAGUCUGGAAUUCCUGGUGUAGUGGUGAAAUGCGCAGAUAUCAGGAGGAACACCGAUGGCGAAGGCAGGUCUCUGGGCAUUAACUGACGCUGAGGAGCGAAAGCAUGGGGAGCGAACAGG
RNAcentral lists this ribosomal RNA (253 nucleotides) under uncultured bacterium. RNAcentral's name for it is "partial 16S ribosomal RNA". It matches the Rfam family "Bacterial small subunit ribosomal RNA", at positions 524 to 776 of the family's 1533-position model. The record is from RNAcentral.